RNAcentral lists this ribosomal RNA (988 nucleotides) under uncultured bacterium. RNAcentral's name for it is "bacterial SSU rRNA". It matches the Rfam family "Bacterial small subunit ribosomal RNA", at positions 8 to 1031 of the family's 1533-position model. The record is from RNAcentral.
AGAGUUUGAUCCUGGCUCAGAACGAACGCUGGCGGCGUGCUUAACACAUGCAAGUCGAGUGCGCGGUUGUAGCAAUACAACUGGCGCACGGCGCACGGGUGCGUAACACGUGGGCAACCUGCCCUUUGAUGGGGAAUAACCCCGCGAAAGCGGGGCUAAUACCGCAUAAGAUCCGCAAGGAUGAAAGCCGAAAGGCGUCGAAGGAGGGGCCUGCGCCCGAUUAGCUAGUUGGUAGGGUAACGGCCUACCAAGGCGAUGAUCGGUAGCUGGUCUGAGAGGAUGGCCAGCCACACUGGAACUGAGACACGGUCCAGACUCCUACGGGAGGCAGCAGUGGGGAAUCUUGCACAAUGGGCGAAAGCCUGAUGCAGCGACGCCGCGUGGGGGAUGAAGCAUCUCGGUGUGUAAACCCCUUUCGACCCGGACGAAUACCUCGCAAGAGGGGUGACGGUACGGGUAUAAGAAGCCCCGGCUAACUACGUGCCAGCAGCCGCGGUAAGACGUAGGGGGCCAGCGUUGUUCGGAAUUACUGGGUGUAAAGGGUUCGUAGGCGGUGCGGCAAGUUGGGAGUGAAAUCUCUGGGCUCAACCCAGAGGCUGCUUCCAAAACUGCUGUGCUUGAGCGUGGGAGAGGCGCGUGGAAUUGCAGGUGUAGCGGUGAAAUGCGUAGAUAUCUGCAGGAACACCCGUGGCGAAAGCGGCGCGCUGGACCACUACUGACGCUGAGGAACGAAAGCUAGGGGAGCAAACAGGAUUAGAUACCCUGGUAGUCCUAGCCCUAAACGAUCAGGACUUGGGGUGCCACCCGUUCGGGUGUCGUCCCGGAGCUAACGCGUUAAGUCCUGCACCUGGGGAGUACGGUCGCAGACUGAAACUCAAGGAAUUGACGGGGCCCGCACAGCGUGGACAUGUGGUCAUCGACGCUACGCGAGACUUACUGGCUCGAAUGCUGUGACAGCUGUAGAAAUACGCUUCCCGCAGGGACACCA